Long non-coding RNA from Labrus bergylta (ballan wrasse), 1003 nucleotides. RefSeq lists it as uncharacterized. The record is from RefSeq and is a predicted model, not a curated record. Lineage: Eukaryota; Metazoa; Chordata; Actinopteri; Labriformes; Labridae.
AUUUCAGUGUAUAAACUACAAAAACAUUCGUUUGCAUUAUACAUUCGCCAUUUUACUCUGCAGCCGCCUGGUUUUCGUCCCGUUAGCUCUCUCUGAAAAAAAAUCCCGCCUUUACGGUUAUAAUUUUUUUGUGAGCUUUUACUUCACUUCCUGUCAACAACAUGGGAAAAACAAGGAAAGUCUCCACCACUGAGCGAAGGACAUCCGUCCGGCUGUCGCAGAAAUCCGCACCCAUACAACCGGAGAAGAAAAAGGUCGCUGCAAAGAAGGUAACCGGCAAAGCAAAGAAGGUCAAAGCCACCGAAAAUGGGAGCCCCAAGGCCGAGGAGGCAAAGGCCGAAGCAACCGAAACCAAAUGAAUAAGGGUUGAAGCGCUCCCUCCGUGUACUUGGUGAUUGUACAGUUUUAAAUAAGUAUUUUUUACCAAGUUUUAUAUUACACAUGUCUAUUAUAGGUUUGUUUUGGGCUUGCACUUAAUGUAACAAAACUUUGUCACAGUCAUAUCCAUUAAGAAUAAUUACCGUCCAUAUCUCGUAGACGUGUGGCAUUUCUAGUUUGUCUAAUUUCCGUUUUUUUUUUUUUGUUUACUGCUGAGUAAUAGAUAUUUUUCAACAAGUCUGGUUUUGAAUCUAAUUUUAAACAUUAUAAGGCAGCUAAAGCAUAUUGUUAAAAUGUAGGGAGAGUAGGAGUGUCUCUUGUUCUCUUCUUGUAUUUUAAUGUUAAACUAAUGAAGGAAAAAAAAAAAAAAGAGAUUGCUUACCAAAUGUUUUGAAACACUGUAUGUUGACAUGAGUUAUAGUAAUUAAACAAAAUGCCACAGAAAAAAAAAAUACUGUAAUUAGGUCAAAAGUUUGACAUAUCCCAAAAACAUGUAUGUUGUGAACGCGGUCAUAUAAUGAUGAAAAGUUAUCUUAAGUUAUGUUUCUGUUUAGCGGAAAGGAAGCUUUUCUGAUUCAAUGUUUGAUCUAAAUGUUCUUAAAUAAAAAGAAAAUGUCAAAAUGUC